This 727-nucleotide ribosomal RNA is filed under the name uncultured Campylobacterota bacterium. RNAcentral's name for it is "bacterial SSU rRNA". It matches the Rfam family "Bacterial small subunit ribosomal RNA", at positions 605 to 1332 of the family's 1533-position model. The record is from RNAcentral. Lineage: Bacteria; Pseudomonadati; Campylobacterota.
UGGCUCAACCAUAGAACUGCAUCCAAAACUGAGGGGCUAGAGUCUGGGAGGGGAAGAUGGAAUUAGUGGUGUAGGGGUAAAAUCCGUAGAGAUCACUAGGAAUACCAAAAGCGAAGGCGAUCUUCUGGAACAGUACUGACGCUGAGGCGCGAAAGCGUGGGGAGCAAACAGGAUUAGAUACCCUGGUAGUCCACGCCCUAAACUAUGAAUGUUAGUCGUCGGGAGGCUCGUCCUCUCGGUGAUGCAGCUAACGCAUUAAACAUUCCGCCUGGGGAGUACGGUCGCAAGAUUAAAACUCAAAGGAAUAGACGGGGACCCGCACAAGUGGUGGAGCAUGUGGUUUAAUUCGAAGAUACGCGAAGAACCUUACCUGGCCUUGACAUUGAUAGAAUCUGCUAGAGAUAGCGGAGUGCCCUUCGGGGAGCUUGAAAACAGGUGCUGCACGGCUGUCGUCAGCUCGUGUCGUGAGAUGUUGGGUUAAGUCCCGCAACGAGCGCAACCCUCGUCACUAGUUACUAACGGUUCGGCCGAGGACUCUAGUGAGACUGCCUUCGUAAGGAGGAGGAAGGUGAGGACGACGUCAAGUCAUCAUGGCCCUUACGGCCAGGGCGACACACGUGCUACAAUGGGAUGUACAAUGAGACGCAAUACCGCGAGGUGGAGCAAAUCUAUAAAGCAUCUCUCAGUUCGGAUUGUAGUCUGCAACUCGACUACAUGAAGCUGGAAU